This 83-nucleotide transfer RNA is filed under the name Clostridia bacterium. RNAcentral describes it as "tRNA-Leu". It matches the Rfam family "tRNA". Rfam says of the family: Transfer RNA (tRNA) molecules are approximately 80 nucleotides in length. Lineage: Bacteria; Bacillati; Bacillota; Clostridia. The record is from RNAcentral.
GCGGACAUGGCGGAACUGGCAGACGCGCUAGACUUAGGAUCUAGUUCGAAAGAGUGGGGGUUCAAGUCCUCUUGUCCGCACCA